Molecule: ribosomal RNA, 480 nt
Filed under: uncultured Bacteroidota bacterium
Lineage: Bacteria; Pseudomonadati; Bacteroidota
Description: bacterial SSU rRNA
Rfam family: Bacterial small subunit ribosomal RNA
Source: RNAcentral
CUUGCUUCCGCUGACGACCGGCGCACGGGUGCGUAACGCGUAUGCAACCUACCUCAUACUGGAGAAUAGCCCUUGGAAACGAGGAUUAAUGCUCCAUAGUAUCACAGAUUCGCAUGUUUCUGUGAUUAAAGAAUUUCGGUAUGAGAUGGGCAUGCGUCCCAUUAGCUUGUUGGUGAGGUAACGGCUCACCAAGGCAACGAUGGGUAGGGGGCCUGAGAGGGUGACCCCCCACACUGGUACUGAGACACGGACCAGACUCCUACGGGAGGCAGCAGUGAGGAAUAUUGGGCAAUGGAGGCAACUCUGACCCAGCCAUGCCGCGUGAAGGAUGACUGCCCUAUGGGUUGUAAACUUCUUUUAUAUGGGAAGAAACUUAUCUACGUGUAGAUAACUGACGGUACCAUACGAAUAAGGAUCGGCUAACUCCGUGCCAGCAGCCGCGGUAAUACGGAGGAUCCAAGCGUUAUCCGGAUUCAUUGG